Molecule: non-coding RNA, 451 nt
Organism: Salmo salar (Atlantic salmon)
Lineage: Eukaryota; Metazoa; Chordata; Actinopteri; Salmoniformes; Salmonidae
Source: RefSeq, a predicted model, not a curated record
CUCUGUGGUUGAGAGUGAUCUGAUCAGACGUCUUCAGACAGUGAAACGUAAGGAGGUGAGCUGUGACUACAGAGUGAGCUCAGGACCAAACUCUCUCUCUCCACGCAGUGAUGGGUACAGCUUUACAGUGGGUAUGACUCCAGGUCCUAGAUCUACUUUGCCUCCCAGCACAACAGUGAGUCCUACAGAAGGUCCAGUGCAGGUAUCUGCAAAUGAAGGUGCUGAUUCAGAGAAUGCAGGGGUCUACAACCUGAUCACUUCUGUACCAUCCACAUCUGUACCAUUAGGUCCUUUUGAAGAAAAUGGAAAGUCAUCUGAAAAUGACAAUAUAAGUUCAGAAUCACCCACUGUGUUUGGUGAUUGUGAACGACUCUCAGUUUCAGAUUGAUGUUACAUCCUUUUAAAUUACAUUACAUUUACAGUACUGUAGAAUUAAAGGACUGAAGUUAAA